UAAACAAACAAGCAAAAGGGGUCCUAAAGCAGCAAACUCUCAAAUCUCUUCUCCUUGGACAAUCUGCAAUAAACUAAAAGUUAGGCAAGGGUGCUCAGAGGUUAAGUUGAAGGGUUCUCAAUCUCUGAGGAAUCUUGUCAUUCCCUCUCCGCUUGCUGCUGUACUCUGGGAGAGUUUCACUCUUUCUCCAUAAAAAUGACUUUGGGGAAAGGGUCUGCUUCGUUAGACGCUGCAGGGUUUGUGUCUACCUCCAGUAUCAGAAUCCAGAACUUUUUAACAGGGAUCAGAGAUUUCACAAUGAUUAAAACAGGGAGGAACUGCAGACACCAUCUGACUCGAGUCUCUUGCUUUAUAAGAUGGGAAAACUGAGGCACAUGGUCUUUUUGUUUUGUUGGUUUUGUUUUCUCAAGGUAUCAGGACUAAAACGAAAUUCCAAGCCCCAUUCUGCUUCAAAGCCCUCUCCAUCCUGCCAGCCUCCACUAAACACGAUGAAACCCUUCCCUCACCUCCAGCGUUCAACUCCACUGAAGGAACUCAGGAUUGUUGUUUACCCAUCCGUGAACCUAUACUCGAAAAAACAUAAAAACCAAGACAAUCAUCAAGAACAGGACACUCUUAAACAUAUACAAGGAAGCAGAUGUUUAAUCUGGAUUGCAUUUAUACAUCUGCAAUCUAUCAAUGAAUCUUUUCAAAAUCUGUAAUGUGGUCCAUCAAAAUGGCUACACUGGAUGGCAAUCGUGGAUACUGACGCACUACUUGAAGAAAGCUGCUUCAGCGGGGUGCUCUGUUGCUAUUAUGCUAAACAAUCACCUCCUAGGGUCUAAAGAGAUUGAGAGUUUAUAUCUGUGGAUGAGAAAAUUAUGUUUCCAUCUACAGUCCCAAACUGCCAAGUUACUAAGAAAUAUGGAAACGGACCUUUUUGAGCAAGAGGUGGAAAAAUCCAUAAAUCAACAGUGACUCUUGGAAAAAGCACACGUCUAAAACAAACUUAAAAGAUUAUCUUUAAGGGCAGCUUCAGGACUUUCCACUUGGGUUUCUCUGUACUACUCUGAUUAACUUUAUUACCUUCUACAGCGUCAUAACACAAAGGACAAGAAAUUGGAGGAAUGUGAUUACAUGGUGGCAUCCCUA
Molecule: long non-coding RNA, 1131 nt
Organism: Herpailurus yagouaroundi (jaguarundi)
Lineage: Eukaryota; Metazoa; Chordata; Mammalia; Carnivora; Felidae
Exons: 2
Source: RefSeq, a predicted model, not a curated record